Molecule: ribosomal RNA, 504 nt
Filed under: uncultured bacterium
Lineage: Bacteria
Description: bacterial SSU rRNA
Rfam family: Bacterial small subunit ribosomal RNA
Source: RNAcentral
AUUGAACGCUGGCGGCGUGCUUAACACAUGCAAGUCGAGCGGUAACAGGUGUAGCAAUACAUGCUGACGAGCGGCGAACGGGUGAGUAAUGCUUCGGAAUCUUCCUAGUAGUGGGGAAUAACCUGGGGAAACUCAGGCUAAUACCGCAUACGACCUACGGGUGAAAGCAGGGGAUCGCAAGACCUUGCGCUAUUAGAUGAGCCGAAGUCGGAUUAGCUAGUUGGUGAGGUAAAGGCUCACCAAGGCGACGAUCCGUAGCUGGUCUGAGAGGACGACCAGCCACACUGGGACUGAGACACGGCCCAGACUCCUACGGGAGGCAGCAGUGGGGAAUAUUGGACAAUGGGGGCAACCCUGAUCCAGCGACGCCGCGUGUGUGAAGAAGGCCUGCGGGUUGUAAAGCACUUUUAGUGGGGAUGAAAAGCCAAGGGCUAAUACCCUUUGGUCUUGACCUAACCCAAAGAAAAAGCAACCGGCUAACUCUGUGCCAGCAGCCGCGGUAAU